RNAcentral lists this ribosomal RNA (365 nucleotides) under uncultured bacterium. RNAcentral's name for it is "partial 16S ribosomal RNA". It matches the Rfam family "Bacterial small subunit ribosomal RNA", at positions 338 to 696 of the family's 1533-position model. The record is from RNAcentral.
CCUACGGGAGGCAGCAGUAGGGAAUUUUCGUCAAUGGGCGCAAGCCUGAACGAGCAAUGCCGCGUGAACGAGGAAGGUCCUCGGAUCGUUAAGUUCUGUUGAAGGGGAAAAAGAGCGGAGAGCGGAAAUGCUUUCUGGUUGAUAUUACCCUGCGAGGAAGUCACGGCUAACUACGUGCCAGCAGCCGCGGUAAUACGUAGGUGGCGAGCGUUAUCCGGAAUGAUUGGGCGUAAGGGGUGCGUAGGCGGCCUGCUAAGUCUGGAGUGAAAUGUACGGGCUCAAUCGGUGCCGGCUCUGGAAACUGGCGGGCUAGAGAGCAGGAGAGGGCGGUGGAACUCGAUGUGUAGCGGUAAAAUGCGUAGAUA